This 301-nucleotide ribosomal RNA is filed under the name uncultured bacterium. Its description in RNAcentral is "partial 16S ribosomal RNA". It matches the Rfam family "Bacterial small subunit ribosomal RNA", at positions 509 to 809 of the family's 1533-position model. The record is from RNAcentral.
CAGCAGCCGCGGUAAUACGUAGGGUGCAAGCGUUAAUCGGAAUUACUGGGCGUAAAGCGUGCGUAGGCGGUUCGUUAAGUCUGUUGUGAAAGCCCCGGGCUCAACCUUGGAAUGGCAAUGGAUACUGGCGAGCUAGAGUGUGUCAGAGGAUGGUGGAAUUCCCGGUGUAGCGGUGAAAUGCGUAGAUAUGCGGAGGAACACCGAUGGCGAAGGCAGCCCCCUGGGCCAAUACUGACGCUCAUGCACGAAAGCGUGGGGAGCAAACAGGAUUAGAUACCCCUGUAGUCCCUGUCUCUUAUAU